GUGGGGAAUAUUGGACAAUGGGCGAAAGCCUGAUCCAGCCAUGCCGCGUGUGUGAAGAAGGUCUUCGGAUUGUAAAGCACUUUAAGUUGGGAGGAAGGGUAGUAACCUAAUACGUUGCUACUUUGACGUUACCGACAGAAUAAGCACCGGCUAACUUCGUGCCAGCAGCCGCGGUAAUACGAAGGGUGCAAGCGUUAAUCGGAAUUACUGGGCGUAAAGCGCGCGUAGGUGGUUCAGUAAGUUGGAAGUGAAAUCCCCGGGCUCAACCUGGGAACUGCCUCCAAAACUGCAUGACUAGAGUACGGUAGAGGGUAGUGGAAUUUCCUGUGUAGCGGUGAAAUGCGUAGAUAUAGGAAGGAACACCAGUGGCGAAGGCGACUACCUGGACUGAUACUGACACUGAGGUGCGAAAGCGUGGGGAGCAAACAGGAUUAGAAACCCCUGUAGUCC
RNAcentral lists this ribosomal RNA (450 nucleotides) under uncultured bacterium. RNAcentral describes it as "bacterial SSU rRNA". It matches the Rfam family "Bacterial small subunit ribosomal RNA", at positions 354 to 796 of the family's 1533-position model. The record is from RNAcentral.